Molecule: long non-coding RNA, 128 nt
Organism: Poecilia latipinna (sailfin molly)
Lineage: Eukaryota; Metazoa; Chordata; Actinopteri; Cyprinodontiformes; Poeciliidae
Exons: 3
Source: RefSeq, a predicted model, not a curated record
CCUUACCUGCAGUCACCAUUCCGGUACUUUCUACCAUUAACAAAUGCCACGGUCAAACGCAGAGAAAGGCGACUGCUACCGGGCUGCUCGUCAUCCGCCGCGCUGUUGUGACAAUAGAAACAGAAAUG